RNAcentral lists this ribosomal RNA (241 nucleotides) under uncultured Actinomycetales bacterium. Its description in RNAcentral is "partial 16S ribosomal RNA". It matches the Rfam family "Bacterial small subunit ribosomal RNA", at positions 89 to 334 of the family's 1533-position model. Lineage: Bacteria; Bacillati; Actinomycetota; Actinomycetes; Actinomycetales. The record is from RNAcentral.
ACUCGAGUGGCGAACGGGUGAGUAACACGUGGGUGAUCUGCCCUGCACUUCGGGGUAAGCCUGGGAAACUGGGUCUAAUACCGGAUAGGAGCCAUUUUUAGUGUGAUGGUUGGAAAGUUUUUCGGUGUAGGAUGAGCUCGCGGCCUAUCAGCUUGUUGGUGGGGUAAUGGCCUACCAAGGCGGCGACGGGUAGCCGGCCUGAGAGGGUGGACGGCCACAUUGGGACUGAGAUACGGCCCAG